CAAUAGCGUAUAUUAAAGUUGUUGCAGUUAAAAAGCUCGUAGUUGGACCUUGGGCCUGGACGGGCGGUCCGCCUCACGGCGUGUACUGUCUUGCCGGGCCUUUCCUCUUGGUGAUCUGUUGUUUCGGCAGCAGGGAACCAGGACCUUUACUUUGAAAAAAUUAGAGUGUUCAAAGCAGGCUCGACGCCGGAAUAUAUUAGCAUGGAAUAAUAAAAUAGGACGUGCGGUUCUAUUUUGUUGGUUUUUGGAAUCGCCGUAAUGAUUAAUAGGGACAGUCGGGGGCAUUAGUACUCACAUGCUAGAGGUGAAAUUCUUGGAUUUUGUGAAGACUAACUUCUGCGAAAGCAUUUGCCAAGGAUGUUUNCAUUA
This 369-nucleotide ribosomal RNA is filed under the name uncultured eukaryote. Its description in RNAcentral is "partial 18S ribosomal RNA". It matches the Rfam family "Eukaryotic small subunit ribosomal RNA", at positions 592 to 975 of the family's 1831-position model. The record is from RNAcentral.